UAUUUGACAAGUAGAACAUCUGUGUUUAGACAACAUAGGCCUGUGAUAGACUUGGAGGCACCCUAUCACACAUACUUGAGAUUCCUGCCCUGCUGCAGGAAAGAUCAAAGCACAUGGUGGUAAACUACGCCUGCGCGAGUCCCUGAUAAACAGGCACCAACAGCAAGUUCGGGGAUCCUCUAUCGCAGACCGAGCUCCGUGGUGCCGGCAUCCCUGCCCGUGUCCCUCUGCCCCGGUGCUGCUUCGGGAUCCUCUGGUUGGUGAGAGGGCAGCUUUUCUCUCCUGUAUCCAGGGUAGCAGUGGAACAGGACAAUCCAUGUGGCAGAAGAGCCUAGAUAAAACAGUUGAGAAAAUUUACAGUGACAUGCAGAAGCAGCAACUGAUUAAUUCUGCAUUUACUGCUAUCAAUACACUUACCAGUGUCAUCA
Long non-coding RNA from Tyto alba (common barn owl), 428 nucleotides. RefSeq lists it as uncharacterized. Lineage: Eukaryota; Metazoa; Chordata; Aves; Strigiformes; Tytonidae. The record is from RefSeq and is a predicted model, not a curated record. The transcript is spliced from 3 exons.